GAUGAACGCUGGCGGCGUGCCUAAUACAUGCAAGUCGAGCGAAAAGACGAGGCGCUUGCUCCUCUGACGUUUGCGGCGGACGGGUGAGUCACACGUGGAUACCCCCCUUAUCUGACUGGGAUCAUUUCGGGAAACCGGCGCUAAUCCGGGAUAAUAUAUUGAAGCGUAUGGUUCAUUAGUGAAUGACGGUUUUGCUGUCACUUAUAGCUGGAUCCGGGCCGCAUUGGCUAGUUGGUAGGGUAAAGGCUUACCAAGGCAAGUAUGCGUGGACGACGUGAGUGGGUGGUAGCCCGCACUGGAACUUAGACGCGGACCAGGCGCCUACGGGAGGCAGCAGUCGGGAAUCUUCCGCAGUGGUGGGAAGCAUGGCGGAGCAGGGCCACGUGAGUUAUAAAGGUGUUCGGAGCGUAAAACUCUGUUAUGGGGUAAAAACAAAUGUGGAAGUAACUAUACACGGCGUGACGGUACCUGAUCAGAAAGCCACGGCUAACUACGUG
Molecule: ribosomal RNA, 497 nt
Filed under: uncultured bacterium
Lineage: Bacteria
Description: partial 16S ribosomal RNA
Rfam family: Bacterial small subunit ribosomal RNA
Source: RNAcentral